Molecule: unclassified non-coding RNA, 360 nt
Filed under: Hevea brasiliensis (rubber tree)
Lineage: Eukaryota; Viridiplantae; Streptophyta; Magnoliopsida; Malpighiales; Euphorbiaceae
Source: RNAcentral
CUCUGACUGUAUAGAGAUUUUAGCGCUCCCAUUGUUGUAUGCUAUUGAUAUAAUGUGGAACUGAAGCUUGUGGCAAUCAAACAUCACCUGCCACAUCCGGCUUAGCCCAUCAAUUAACUCCUCAAGUUGUGGCUGAAGUUCUUUGUCCCGCAAUUCCUCAAUCGUCUUAGAUAUGGAAUCGAUUCUGUGAAUUGCAACUCUAAUUCUUGAGUGUAGAUCCUUAACAACAGCACGAGUUUUAUCAAUUUUUUUGUUGUUGUUUUCUCCUUUAGAUUCCAGUUGCCUAAGGAUUGUGCGCUUGGCAUCAUACUCUCUUCUGACCAUCCAACUAGCCUGAAAGAGAAGAUAUGUAAAUAUAUU